AUGAACGUUGGCGGCAUGGAUUAGGCAUGCAAGUCGAGCGCGAUAGGUUUGGUGCUUGCAUUAAACCUUGAAAGCGGCGAAAGGGAGAGUAACGCGUANNGUAUCUGCCCCCGGGACUGGGAUAGCGGCGGGAAACUGCCGGUAAUACCAGAUAAUGUCUCCGGACCAAAGGUGUGAUUCCGCCUGGGGAUGAUCCUGCGUCCUAUUAGNUAGUUGGUAGGGUAAUGGCCUACCAAGACGAUGAUGGGUAGCGGGCGUGAGAGCGUGGCCCGUCUCACUGGGACUGAGAUACUGCCCAGACACCUACGGGUGGCUGCAGUCGAGAAUCUUCCGCAAUGGGCGAAAGCCUGACGGAGCGAUGCCGCGUGCGGGAUGAAGGCCUUCGGGUUGUAAACCGCUGUCAGUGGGGUGGAAAUUGUUUGGGGUUAUCCCCAUUCAUUGACCUAACCGCAGAGGAAGUCCGGGCUAAGUACGUGCCAGCAGCCGCGGUAAUACGGAGGAUCCGAGCGUUAUCCGGAUUUAUUGGGUUUAAAGGGUGCGUNGGUGGUUUAAUAAGUCAGCGGUGAAAGUUUGCAGCUUAACUGUAAAAAUGCCGUUGAAACUGUUAGACUUGAGUGUAAAUGAGGUAGGCGGAAUGCGUGGUGUAGCGGUGAAAUGCUUAGAUAUCACGCAGAACUCCGAUUGCGAAGGCAGCUUACCAAGCUACAACUGACACUGAAGCACGAAAGCGUGGGGAUCAAACAGGAUUAGAUACCCUGGUAGUCCACGCAGUAAACGAUGAUUACUAGCUGUUUGCGAUACACAGUAAGCGGCACAGCGAAAGCGUUAAGUAAUCCACCUGGGGAGUACGCCGGCAACGGUGAAACUCAAAGGAAUUGACGGGGGCCCGCACAAGCGGAGGAACAUGUGGUUUAAUUCGAUGAUACGCGAGGAACCUUACCCGGGUUUGAACGCAGAGAGACAGGAGUGGAAACAUUCUUUUCAGCAAUGACUGUCUGCGAGGUGCUGCAUGGUUGUCGUCAGCUCGUGCCGUGAGGUGUCGGCUUAAGUGCCAUAACGAGCGCAACCCUUAUCUUUAGUUACUAACAGGUCAAGCUGAGGACUCUAGAGAGACUGCCGGCGUAAGCUGUGAGGAAGGUGGGGAUGACGUCAAAUCAGCACGGCCCUUACAUCCGGGGCGACACACGUGUUACAAUGGUAAGGACAAAGGGCAGCUACCGGGCGACCGGAUGCGAAUCUCUAAACCUUAUCUCAGUUCGGAUCGGAGUCUGCAACUCGACUCCGUGAAGCUGGAUUCGCUAGUAAUCGCGCAUCAGCCAUGGCGCGGUGAAUACGUUCCCGGGCCU
RNAcentral lists this ribosomal RNA (1346 nucleotides) under uncultured bacterium. RNAcentral describes it as "bacterial SSU rRNA". It matches the Rfam family "Bacterial small subunit ribosomal RNA", at positions 29 to 1381 of the family's 1533-position model. The record is from RNAcentral.